GACGAACGCUGGCGGCGUGCUUAACACAUGCAAGUCGAACGAAGAGCGAUGGAAGCUUGCUUCUAUCAAUCUUAGUGGCGAACGGGUGAGUAACGCGUAAUCAACCUGCCCUUCAGAGGGGGACAACAGUUGGAAACGACUGCUAAUACCGCAUACGAUCUAACCUCGGCAUCGAGGAAAGAUGAAAGGUGGCCUCUAUGUAUAAGCUAUCACUGAAGGAGGGGAUUGCGUCUGAUUAGCUAGUUGGAGGGGUAACGGCCCACCAAGGCGAUGAUCAGUAGCCGGUCUGAGGAUGAACGGCCACAUUGGGACUGAGACACGGCCCAGACUCCUACGGGAGGCAGCAGUGGGGAAUCUUCCGCAAUAGACGAAAGUCUGACGGAGCAACGCCGCGUGAGUGAUGACGGCCUUCGGGUUGUAAAGCUCUGUUAAUCGGGACGAAAGGCCUUCUUGCGAAUAGUGAGAAGGAUUGACGGUACCGGAAUAGAAAGCCACGGCUAACUACGUG
This 508-nucleotide ribosomal RNA is filed under the name uncultured bacterium. RNAcentral's name for it is "partial 16S ribosomal RNA". It matches the Rfam family "Bacterial small subunit ribosomal RNA", at positions 28 to 507 of the family's 1533-position model. The record is from RNAcentral.